This 1254-nucleotide ribosomal RNA is filed under the name Glomus sp. MUCL 43207. RNAcentral describes it as "eukaryotic LSU rRNA". It matches the Rfam family "Eukaryotic large subunit ribosomal RNA", at positions 25 to 1132 of the family's 3401-position model. Lineage: Eukaryota; Fungi; Glomeromycota; Glomeromycetes; Glomerales; Glomeraceae. The record is from RNAcentral.
CCGUGAACUUAAGCAUAUCAAUAAGCGGAGGAAAAGAAAAUAACAAUGAUUCCCCUAGUAACUGCGAGUGAAGAGGGACAAGCUCAAAUUUUAAAUCUAUCGGGUUUUACCUGAUCGAGUUGUAAUUUGAAGAAGCGUUUUCUGCGUAUUUGGUCAGCUUAAGUCCUAUUGGAUGAGGCAUCAUGGAGGGUGAUAAUCCCGUCCGGUUGAUCAUUUGCGUUUUACGAUACGCUUUCUAAGAGUCAAGUUGUUUGGGAUUGCAGCUUAAAAUGGGAGGUAAAUUUCUCCUAAGGCUAAAUAACGGCGAGAGACCGAUAGCGAACAAGUACCGUGAGGGAAAGAUGAAAAGAACUUUGAAAAGAGAGUUAAACAGUACGUGAAAUUGUUGAAAGGGAAACGAUUGAAGCCAGUCGUACCUUCGGGUAAUCAGCCUUUCGGGUGCGAUUCUGUGGAGUGUGAGGAGCUUAAACACCUUCAUGUUUUGCAUAUUCGUACUCUUGGGUGUACUUGCCCGUGUGGUUGGUUAACAUCAAUUUUGGUGGUCAUAAAAUGACUGGAGGAAUGUAGCUUCGAUCUCGUAUUGAAGUGUUAUAGCCUUCGGUAGAUGUGAUGAUCGAGAUUGAGGAUUGCAACGGAUACCCUUCGGGGCUACCUGUCUGAUCUCUGAUCGUUGCUCUGGUGCCGAAAGCUUGCUUACGGUUAUCAAAGUCGAUGGUCAAUAGGUUAGAACGGGUUAAAUUCGUUAAGGAUGUUGACGUAAUGGCUUUAAACGACCCGUCUUGAAACACGGACCAAGGAGUCUAACAUAUAUGCGAGUGUUAGGGUGAUUAAACCCUUACGCGUAAUGAAAGUAAUUUUGGUGGGAACAUUUUUGUGCACCAUCGACCGAUCAGGAUAUUUUUUGAUAGAUUUGAGUAAGAGCAUAUCUGCUAGGACCCGAAAGAUGGUGAACUAUGCCUGAAUAGGGUGAAGUCAGAGGAAACUCUGAUGGAGGCUCGUAGCGGUUCUGACGUGCAAAUCGAUCGUCAAAUUUGGGUAUAGGGGCGAAAGACUAAUCGAACCAUCUAGUAGCUGGUUCCUGCCGAAGUUUCCCUCAGGAUAGCAGAAACUCGUUAACAGUUUUAUGAGGUAAAGCGAAUGAUUAGAGGCCUUAGGGUUGAAACAGCCUUAACCUAUUCUCAAACUUUAAAUAUGUAAGAAGUUUAUCGUUACUUAAUUGAACGUGAACAUUCGAAUGAGAGUUUCUAGUGGGCC